GACAAUUUUGUCUUGAGCUGUUGUGUUGGCUGUGUGGGUGUUUGCUGUUGUUUUGUAUUUGAUAGACUGUGUGUCAAUAGUGUCUCUGUUCAUUGUGACUGUGCCAGAAGGGGGUUCAGUUUACAUUUGGUUCAGUGGGUUGAGGUGUAAAUGAAGUUCUCCCUCCAAAGCAACUCUACGGGAAUGACUGCUGGAAG
Molecule: long non-coding RNA, 197 nt
Organism: Colossoma macropomum (tambaqui)
Lineage: Eukaryota; Metazoa; Chordata; Actinopteri; Characiformes; Serrasalmidae
Exons: 3
Source: RefSeq, a predicted model, not a curated record